Molecule: unclassified non-coding RNA, 2569 nt
Filed under: Drosophila mojavensis
Lineage: Eukaryota; Metazoa; Arthropoda; Insecta; Diptera; Drosophilidae
Description: GI25702
Source: RNAcentral
AUGUUUUUUUCUAUAACUUUUAUUACUUUACUAUACCUAUUUUCAUCGAAAGUUACGGCUCAAGCUAAUCAAUUUAGAAUUGUGGGAGGUUUCGAUACCGACAUUUCGGAUGCUCCAUAUAUGGCCUCAUUGCGUGAGUUACGCAAGGAGAUUCGUGCACUGGGCAGUGGACAUUUUUGUGGUGGGACUAUUAUUAAAGAUCGUGUAAUUCUUACGGCAGCUCAUUGUUUAACUAAGUGGGUACGCCUCAGCGAAAAUGUUGCCUGUUCAUUCAGUUAAUUUUUGCUGCAGACGGAGCCCCGCCAAGGCAUUGGUUGUAGUGGGAUUCAAGUAUCUUUCCCUCAAUUGGCCGACGAUGAAGAAACUGAAAAUCUCAAAUUGGAAUUAUCAUAAAAAAUAUAGAAAGGAAAGAAAAGCAAUAUUCGAUAUUGGAUUGAUAUUCACAAUUGAAAAUAUAGAACCCGUUAAUGGGGCAAUCGCAUUUCUGCCCCUUAACACGGUGGAAAUAAGCCCUGGUACUAAAUGUCUAUUGUCUGGAUGGGGUCGAGUUGAGCACAAUGCACCCCAUAGAGCAAGUUGCCUGCAGUCAUUGUGGCAACGGAUUCUAGACAAAAGAGUAUGUUUUAAGAUCGCUAAUAGAUAUGACCUAUUGUGCACCAACUCAGGGCUUCCGACUGGGGCUAGUCGAGGUGAUUCAGGUGGUCCGCUGCGCUGCAACGAUAAACUUGCGGGUGUUAUCGCUGCCGGAGACCUACAUGGUCUCGCUUUAUAUACAGAUGUCCGGCCAUUUGCCGAUUGGAUAGAAGAACAGAUUAGGAAUGGAAUAAUGCCACUUGGCUCGUUUUGCAUUGGGAAGCACGUUGUUUUGGCCAUCAGCAUUUGUGUGGCCACCAUAUGCAAGUCGGGAUUUUAGACUCAGACUAAACCGAGUUACUUACAAUGACUUAUAAAUCAGUAGGCUUAUGAGUUUCGUUCAAUUAACAACUAAUAUUUCGAGAUUUAUAAAAUUCCAAAUUUCCUUGUCUGAAUUUUAGAAAACAAAUAUUAUGUCUCUAAUGCUAAUAUUGAUGAUUCAUAUCGUUUUAUUUUAUCCAUUGACAUCGGCGAAUGCUGCUUCAGACAAUGUUACUUUCAAAAUUAUAAACGGGUUUUCUUGCAACAUCAAGGAGACUCCCUAUCAGGUCUCACUGCGCUAUGCCUAUAGAGAGAGAAAACGAUGGGGCAGCGGCCAUUAUUGCGGUGGAACUAUUGUUAGCAAUCGUGCGAUUAUCACUGCAGCUCAUUGCCUAAGGGGGAGGUACACGCGAAUGAAUCUUUUGGCGGUUAUCUUAUAUUUUUUUCUGCAGGCGCCAUAAGAAAGAAGUAGUAGUUGUAGUAGGAAACACUUUUCUAGACGACAGAUCUGCAACAACGAAGGAGCUGGAAAUCUUAUCUUGGCGUGUUCACCAAAAAUAUACUAAGCCAUUGAACGAUAUUGCAUUGAUCUUUACUGUCGAGCAUAUACAACCCAUUAGUGGGGCUAUUGAGAUUUUGCCCCUAAACACGAGGGAAGUCGACGUGGGUACCAGAUGUCUAGUAUCCGGCUGGGGUCAAGCCAAUCACUUUGUGCCAGAUCGCACGAAUGAUCUGAGGGCGCAAUGGAUACAGAUUGUCAGCCCUAAAAUCUGUAGGAAGCUCUAUCGUAUACCUAAAGUAAUUUGCGCCGGCGAUGAGUCCACUACUGGGCCCAGCUUUGGUGAUUCGGGGGGCCCGUUGAGGUGCGAAGAUAAAUUGUCGGGUAUCGUCUCUGUGGGAAGGCUUGAGGGUGGUCCGACCGCAUACACAAGUAUUCGGGAUUUAUACCCUUGGAUACGACGUGAGCUCAGUAGCUUCAAUGGAGCUCCGCCAAUGCGACCGUCUUGCAUCCAGAGACAGGUUGUUUUGGCCAUCACCAUUUAUAUGGUAACAAAAUGAUUCAUUCUGCUCUACGUAUUAAAACAUGUGGAAAUGAAGAAGUCCAGGUAUGUAGAAGCUGCUGGUAUGUGAUAUAUGUGUAACUAGCUCUAAUCAAGAGAUCAGUCAAUAAGGAUCAGAGUGGACUUUUUAUAUAGUUUUUGAAGAAUUGAUACCAACUAAUGUGUAUUUAUAUUGAGGACUAUAACUUUUAUUAAAAUCAACUAUUAACUUGAAUGCAAUUCUCAAGGAAUAUUGAAAAUGACUCCAUAAAAGCUCCACCCAUCGGCAAACCCAUUGGUCAAAUUUGUUUACAUUCCGCUUGGAAACUGGGUCAUUGUGAGCGCGAGCGAGCGAGAUGGCAACAGCAAUGUUGUUAAGCGAUUGUUCGCCGCUGGGACGCAGCUUGAAAUCGCCAACACGAUGGCAACGUGGGACAUGCCCUACCAGCGGCGAUAACAACAAACUGAUCAAAAAAAAAUCAGCAUAACGUUCAAGCCGCUGUAAAUGCUCUAUCUCGUGGAACGAUAAUUGGCCAGAAAUCGCAACUAACUUCAAAUUAUUGUUCAUAUUUUUAUGGAAUGACCUAAGAAAUGGAAAGAAAUAAUUGUAAAUAAUUUUUAAUAUUAGUUUAGCG